CUUCCGUAGGUGAACCUGCGGAGGGAUCAUUG
RNAcentral lists this ribosomal RNA (32 nucleotides) under Cytospora sp. 13 SY1. RNAcentral describes it as "partial 18S ribosomal RNA". The record is from RNAcentral. Lineage: Eukaryota; Fungi; Ascomycota; Sordariomycetes; Diaporthales; Cytosporaceae. RNAcentral also lists the same sequence under 2 other names.